RNAcentral lists this ribosomal RNA (305 nucleotides) under uncultured bacterium. RNAcentral's name for it is "bacterial SSU rRNA". It matches the Rfam family "Bacterial small subunit ribosomal RNA", at positions 334 to 631 of the family's 1533-position model. The record is from RNAcentral.
CUUUCCUACGGGAGGCAGCAGUAGGGAAUUUUCGUCAAUGGGCGCAAGCCUGAACGAGCAAUGCCGCGUGAACGAGGAAGGUCUUCGGAUCGUAAAGUUCUGUUGACGGGGAAAAAAGACCGGGAAAGGAAAUGAUCACGGAGGAGAUAUUACCCGUCGAGGAAGUCACGGCUAACUACGUGCCAGCAGCCGCGGUAAUACGUAGGUGGCGAGCGUUGUCCGGAUUUAUUGGGCGUAAAGCGAGCGCAGGUGGUUUAUUAAGUCUGGUGUAAAAGGCAGUGGCUCAACCAUUGUAUGCAUUGGAA